AGACGCUGGGAGGAGACCCUGGGACUCAGAGCUAAGAACCCAGGCGGCAGAGAGGCACGGGAACUGGGCGUUCAGAGUUUGUAGACACGCGAAGUAGGGAGUCGGGAGGCUGGGCUGAGGGCGGGGAGGGAGGGGACAGGCCGGUCCCUGCCUCAGCCGAGGGCCCUGCAGUCGGUGCGGUCUCUGGGGUCCCGGCUGGCCGGCCCGCAGUGGCUGCUCCUUGCUGUCUGGCCCACCGCUAACUUCUCCCAGCGGACCCAUGGAACUCGUCAUGUUGGUGAGGCGCUGCGCUGGGGCCCUGGGGGCCUGACCCUGCUCCAGCCGCCCUGCCGCAGGGCCCCCACUGCCCGGGGCUUGGAGUGGAGACAGAUCCGAGAACACCGCUGCUCACCCGGGGCGCCACAGGGGCAGUGCUGGCGCAGUGGCCUACUAUGCACUAAUCUACAGCCUAAGAUCCUUCCAUGACUCCUUCUGGCCUUCAGAGUGGAGUCCAAGCUCCUCACCAUGGCACAGAAAGUCCUGAGUGACCUGGCUACUGCCCGUGUCUACAGCCUUUCACCCUCUGCCUGAAACGCCGACACAAAAUUUACACAAAGGGAGUAUGUAAGAGACCACAGAUACGAGGAAAGAGAAGCCAGGAGACAGGCAAAAGCUGUGCCAGUGGUUCAGAAUGGGUGCUGGCAGGGGACAAGAAAAGCAAGAAGAUACAUGAAGAGAGACAGAUGGAAAGACCAACAGGCUCCUGGCAAUCAGGAGGCAGGCUUGGAGCCAGUCACUGCUGAAGGUGAUGGGGUCAGACAGACAGUUCUGGAGCGGUGCUGGACCUGAAAUGGGCCCCCUAUUCCUGAAUCCCAUUCCAGGCAACAGGAGGCCCAGCCGUAAGGCAGUUUCUGGUUGCCCAAGUCUCUCUUACAUUCUUGCAAUAACUUCCCAUUACUUGAGGUGGCCCGAGUGAACCCCAAGCAUGAAACAAUACAGAUGGCAACUGAAGCCACGGAUGGGGGUGUCAAUCUCCCACAGAACGUGUACGGAAAGAGAAGACUGUCCAGGAUGGAGCCCUAGCGAAUGCUGACUCUGAAAUCAAGGACGCUGAGAAAGAGAAUGAGAGAGACUGGCGAGCGAAAUCAGAAGAACGCCAGAAAUUACUGACUCCGAAGCCCGAGCAGGGGCAGUUUCAAAGAGGAAGGAGUAGUCAACAUAAAGCAUGUUUCUGAGAGGUCAGGAAACAUGUGUCCACUGGAUUUGGCAGCCUUGAGGGUGUGAGACUUCGGCUUAGGACAGGGAUGGAGGUGUAAGACGGUGGAUGGAACUGAAGACGGUGGUGAGUAGGCUCCGAGAGGAACGACGGCCAGGGACAGGACACAGGGGUGACCCCACAGACAAUGGACGGAGCACCUCCAGCCUUCAUCAAGCAUCAGGAGGGUGCUCAGUGACAGCACCUACUACAUCGCAUUACAACUCUAGUUUCGGGCCUGUUCCCACUAGACCGUGAGAGACAGGGAGCAGCAUGGUGUCAGCACACAGGACACCUCAGUGACGCCUGGCAAAUGAGCGCAUGGCGAGAUGGAGUGAGAUGUGCCUCUGAACAUUUCACAAGAGCUGGAGGCUGCCCUGUCCCACCAUGGCCUUACAUACACCUGUACCUCCGUGUCUCCGGACCUCAUCUUCCCCACUCAACAGUCCACUGGUGCUCCUCUGAGCUGCCCUGAGCAUGGCCUGUUGGGAACUCCUCCAAGCUUGCUGGCUGGCUCAGGGCUCCUGAGGGCUGGGAGAUAACGAGCCUUGUGGUAACUUGUCUGGAACUUGUAGUGCAACUGUCCAGUGAAUGAGGGAACCAAAUGGCCACAAACGGUGACAAGAAAAGUUCCCAUAUGGACGAAGGCAGUAUGGCCAGCCUUAGCACAGGCUGUCUUCUGGGUUGUCCAGUCUUCCUUUCCAGUCUUUCCUCUUUCCAGACCCCAUCAUGACUCCUGGGUACCAGAAAGUUCCACCCACUGAGCAACUUGUUCACAUAGCAAGCUGUAGGCAGCAGCCGUGACCGAGGCCUGUCACUUGUUCCAGCACUGCCCAGCCAGGCCUUGGCUCCCAAAUGCAGAGCUGCCUC
Prionailurus viverrinus (fishing cat) is the source of this 2104-nucleotide long non-coding RNA. RefSeq lists it as uncharacterized. NCBI's taxonomy places the organism in Eukaryota, Metazoa, Chordata, Mammalia, Carnivora, Felidae. The record is from RefSeq and is a predicted model, not a curated record. The transcript has 4 exons.